AGAGUUUGAUCAUGGCUCAGAACGAACGUUAGCGGCGCGCUUAACACAUGCAAGUCGCACGAGAAAGGGAGCAAUCCCCGGUACAGUGGCGCACGGGUGAGUAACACGUAGGUAAUCUGCCUCUGAGUGGUGGAUAACCUCCCGAAAGGGGGGCUAAUACAGCAUAAGACCACGGCUUCGAAAGGAGCUGAGGUCAAAGCCGGCCUCUUCAUGAAAGCUGGUGCUCGGAGAUGAGCCUGCGGCCCAUCAGGUAGUUGGCGGGGUAAUGGCCCACCAAGCCAAAGACGGGUAGCUGGUCUGAGAGCAUGAUCAGCCACACUGGAACUGAGACACGGUCCAGACUCCUACGGGAGGCAGCAGUGGGGAAUCUUGCGCAAUGGGCGAAAGCCUGACGCAGCGACGCCGCGUGGGUGAUGAAGGCCUUCGGGUUGUAAAGCCCUGUGGGGAGAGACGAAUAAGUCGUGGCUAACAUCCACGAUGAUGACGGUAUCUCCUUAGCAAGCACCGGCUAACUCUGUGCCAGCAGCCGCGGUAAGACAGAGGGUGCAAACGUUGUUCGGAAUUACUGGGCGUAAAGCGCAUGUAGGCGGCCAAGCAGGUCGGAUGUGAAAUCCCUCGGCUCAACCAAGGAAGUGCAUUCGAAACCGCAUGGCUCGAGUCCCGGAGAGGAAGGUGGAAUUCUCGGUUUAGAGGUGAAAUUCGUAGAUAUCGAGAGGAACACCGGUGGCGAAAGCGGCCUUCUGGACGAGGACUGACGCUGAGAUGCGAAAGCGUGGGGAGCAAACAGGAUUAGAUACCCUGGUAGUCCACGCCGUAAACGAUGGGUGCUAGGUGUCGCGGGCUUUGACCCCUGCGGUGCCGUAGCUAACGCAUUAAGCACCCCGCCUGGGAAGUACGGGCCGCAAGGCUAAAACUCAAAUGAAUUGACGG
RNAcentral lists this ribosomal RNA (930 nucleotides) under uncultured bacterium. RNAcentral describes it as "SSU rRNA". It matches the Rfam family "Bacterial small subunit ribosomal RNA", at positions 8 to 916 of the family's 1533-position model. The record is from RNAcentral.